This 843-nucleotide ribosomal RNA is filed under the name Bacillus subtilis. RNAcentral describes it as "bacterial SSU rRNA". It matches the Rfam family "Bacterial small subunit ribosomal RNA", at positions 56 to 882 of the family's 1533-position model. Lineage: Bacteria; Bacillati; Bacillota; Bacilli; Caryophanales; Bacillaceae. The record is from RNAcentral.
UGCAGUCGAGCGGACAGAUGGGAGCUUGCUCCCUGAUGUUAGCGGCGGACGGGUGAGUAACACGUGGGUAACCUGCCUGUAAGACUGGGAUAACUCCGGGAAACCGGGGCUAAUACCGGAUGGUUGUUUGAACCGCAUGGUUCAAACAUAAAAGGUGGCUUCGGCUACCACUUACAGAUGGACCCGCGGCGCAUUAGCUAGUUGGUGAGGUAACGGCUCACCAAGGCAACGAUGCGUAGCCGACCUGAGAGGGUGAUCGGCCACACUGGGACUGAGACACGGCCCAGACUCCUACGGGAGGCAGCAGUAGGGAAUCUUCCGCAAUGGACGAAAGUCUGACGGAGCAACGCCGCGUGAGUGAUGAAGGUUUUCGGAUCGUAAAGCUCUGUUGUUAGGGAAGAACAAGUACCGUUCGAAUAGGGCGGUACCUUGACGGUACCUAACCAGAAAGCCACGGCUAACUACGUGCCAGCAGCCGCGGUAAUACGUAGGUGGCAAGCGUUGUCCGGAAUUAUUGGGCGUAAAGGGCUCGCAGGCGGUUUCUUAAGUCUGAUGUGAAAGCCCCCGGCUCAACCGGGGAGGGUCAUUGGAAACUGGGGAACUUGAGUGCAGAAGAGGAGAGUGGAAUUCCACGUGUAGCGGUGAAAUGCGUAGAGAUGUGGAGGAACACCAGUGGCGAAAGCGACUCUCUGGUCUGUAACUGACGCUGAGGAGCGAAAGCGUGGGGAGCGAACAGGAUUAGAUACCCUGGUAGUCCACGCCGUAAACGAUGAGUGCUAAGUGUUAGGGGUUUCCGCCCCUUAGUGCUGCAGCUAACGCAUUAAGCACUCCGCCUGGGGAGUA